Dipodomys spectabilis (banner-tailed kangaroo rat) is the source of this 790-nucleotide long non-coding RNA. RefSeq lists it as uncharacterized. The record is from RefSeq and is a predicted model, not a curated record. Lineage: Eukaryota; Metazoa; Chordata; Mammalia; Rodentia; Heteromyidae. The transcript has 2 exons.
UUCCUUGGGUAGCCGUGCCCCGUGGGUGUGGGGCUGCGCUCGCUCGCGCGUGCGCGCGGCGCCCACCCGCAGGCUGGCACCGGGGUUUCCAUGAAGGGGAUGGGAAGGAAGGGAAAGGCGAACGCCUGUGACCCUAGCCCCUCCAUAUCUAUGUCUGAUAACGUUUACCUGUCCCAAGCCGCGCGCCGGGGGCCCACGCUACUGUAAUCCUAGCAACUCGGGAGACCUGAGGCUGAGCUCUGAGGAUCGCGGUUCGAAGCCAGCCCGGGCAGGAACGUCCGCGAGGCUCCAUCUCCCAUGAACCACCAGAAAAGCGGAAGGGGUGCUGUGUGUCUCAAAGUAGCGGAGUGCUAGCCCUGAGCAAAAGAGCUCGGAGGCCGCCCAGGCCCCGAGUUCAAACCCCACAACCGACCGAAAAGCUCGGUCCGGUGUACAUGAAAUCAGACGAGUUCUACGGGGGACACCCGGGCUCAUCCCAGCAACUCAGGCCGGCCUGCCCCCGGACGUGUGCUCGUCCCCACCGUCCACCACCCACUUGCUAACAAUGUCCUAGAUGCAGCAACCCUGUGAGAAUCUCGCUUCUUUGAAGAGCACGCUGAUAGGCAAGUCUACUCCUCAGCCCUUCCUGGAAAUCAUCCAUUGAGUCUGGUGCUUUGCAAGCCUGUGUGCAAGAGGAGUUUUUGUCACUCUGAGGAAGGAUGCUCUAGUUGUGAGAUCAUCUCUCUCCAAGAGACAAGAGGACUACCUGCUUUGUGUUCUUACCAGCCUUAAUAAACAUUCUUGGCAUUAA